RNAcentral lists this long non-coding RNA (790 nucleotides) under Homo sapiens (human). Its description in RNAcentral is "HSALNT0078248". The record is from RNAcentral. Lineage: Eukaryota; Metazoa; Chordata; Mammalia; Primates; Hominidae.
CUGUUUCAUUAGCACAAGGCAUGCUUACAACCAGAGUUCCAAAAAUGUAACACAAGAAACAGUAAAGGGCCCUGGACUCAAACUCCCUCUGUGCAAGUCCUGGCUGUGUUUCUUGCUACCGGCGUAAUGGUAGUGCUAUUUAAGCAGCAGUGCAUGUCUCCUCACAUUUGAAAAUAUUGAUUGGGUCUUGAAGACAGAAUAACAAGCGCCAGAACUCAAGCAUUUUGCCAGGAGUGGUGCUGCCUCAUCAGUACUUCAGAUCCAGGCAGGGAAACUGUCAGCAGAACUGCUCCAAAGUCUGCUUUGUGAAAUGCACAUAAGCGGUCUCCCAGACCCACUUUCCAUCCUUCUCCUUUCUGAGGAGGAGGUGGUUAGAAAAAAAAGAAGAAGACAACAAAAGAGUAGAUGAGAGAGAUGUGGCAAAAGAAGAGGCAGAAGAGAAGAGGCAAGAGAAGGAUUCUCCCACCCAUUGCUGUCUUUAGAGAUGCAGGCUAUGAGCCAAAAAGCACAGAUAGCUCCGGAAGCUGAGGACAAGCCACACUGCCCACACUCCCGCAACUGCCCAGAACUGAAUUUUGCCAAUUACCUGCAUAAAUCAGAAAAUGGAUGCUCACUAGAGUCUCCAGAAGGGAGCCUGGCUUGCUGACACCUAGAUUUUUGUCUUGUGAGACUGAUCAGAGGAAUUAUCCCAGCACACUUGACUUCUGAAAUUGUGAUAUAUCUAUGCCUGCAGAAACCCAUGACAUGCAGAAACUAUGAGUUAAUAAAUGAAUGUUGUUUUAAGCCAUCA